AUAGAUUGCCAUUGUAGCACUGAUGCAAUAAUGUUAAAUGCAAAUAAGCAGAAGAACUAAACCAAAGUAGUGCAACAAAGUAAAUUGUCAGUGCCAUAGAUUGACCCUAGGUUGCAUUGGAAAGAAAGUGAACAUUAAUGCAAUGUCACAAUGUUCAAUAGUCUACUUCUAACAAAUGAGCAUUGUAUACUCUAACCUAUUACUUUUGGAAUAGGGUAGAGGAAUAGAAUAUAUAUCUAUAUCUGACAUGG
RNAcentral lists this unclassified non-coding RNA (251 nucleotides) under Hevea brasiliensis (rubber tree). Lineage: Eukaryota; Viridiplantae; Streptophyta; Magnoliopsida; Malpighiales; Euphorbiaceae. The record is from RNAcentral.